GACGAACGCUGGCGGCGUGCUUAAUACAUGCAAGUCGAACGGAAAGGCCCUGCUUUUGUGGGGUGCUCGAGUGGCGAACGGGUGAGUAACACGUGAGUAACCUGCCCUUGACUUUGGGAUAACUUCAGGAAACUGGGGCUAAUACCGGAUAGGAGCUCCUGCUGCAUGGUGGGGGUUGGAAAGUUUCGGCGGUUGGGGAUGGAUUCGCGGCUUAUCAGCUUGUUGGUGGGGUAGGGGCUUACCAAGGCUUUGACGGGUAGCCGGCCUGGGAGGGUGACCGGCCACAUUGGGACUGAGAUACGGCCCAGACUCCUACGGGAGGCAGCAGUGGGGAAUCUUGCACAAUGGGCGGAAGCCUGAUGCAGCAACGCCGCGUGCGGGAUGACGGCCUUCGGGUUGUAAACCGCUUUCGCCUGUGACGAAGCGUGAGUGACGGUAAUGGGUAAAGAAGCACCGGCUAACUACGUG
RNAcentral lists this ribosomal RNA (468 nucleotides) under uncultured bacterium. Its description in RNAcentral is "partial 16S ribosomal RNA". It matches the Rfam family "Bacterial small subunit ribosomal RNA", at positions 28 to 507 of the family's 1533-position model. The record is from RNAcentral.